CCGAAACCAGGUGAUCUACCCAUGGUCAGGUUGAAGUUCAGGUAACACUGAAUGGAGGACCGAACCGACUUACGUUGAAAAGUGAGCGGAUGAACUGUGGGUAGCGGAGAAAUUCCAAUCGAACUUGGAGAUAGCUGGUUCUCUCCGAAAUAGCUUUAGGGCUAGCCUCAAGUGAUGAUUAUUGGAGGUAGAGCACUGUUUGGACGAGGGGCCCCUCUCGGGUUACCGAAUUCAGACAAACUCCGAAUGCCAAUUAAUUUAACUUGGGAGUCAGAACAUGGGUGAUAAGGUCCGUGUUCGAAAGGGAAACA
RNAcentral lists this ribosomal RNA (311 nucleotides) under Staphylococcus haemolyticus. RNAcentral describes it as "partial 23S ribosomal RNA". It matches the Rfam family "Bacterial large subunit ribosomal RNA", at positions 715 to 1024 of the family's 2925-position model. Lineage: Bacteria; Bacillati; Bacillota; Bacilli; Caryophanales; Staphylococcaceae. The record is from RNAcentral.